GCGGCUAUGGUGUAGCGGUAACAUACCUGCUUCCCAAGCAGUUGUCACGGGUUCGAGUCCCGUUAGCCGCU
This 71-nucleotide transfer RNA is filed under the name Chloroflexota bacterium. Its description in RNAcentral is "Chloroflexi bacterium tRNA-Gly". It matches the Rfam family "tRNA". From Rfam's summary of the family: Transfer RNA (tRNA) molecules are approximately 80 nucleotides in length. Their secondary structure includes four short double-helical elements and three loops (D, anti-codon, and T loops). The record is from RNAcentral. RNAcentral also lists the same sequence under 1 other name. Lineage: Bacteria; Bacillati; Chloroflexota.